RNAcentral lists this ribosomal RNA (254 nucleotides) under uncultured bacterium. RNAcentral's name for it is "partial 16S ribosomal RNA". It matches the Rfam family "Bacterial small subunit ribosomal RNA", at positions 524 to 776 of the family's 1533-position model. The record is from RNAcentral.
UACGUAGGGAGCAAGCGUUGUCCGGAAUCAUUGGGCGUAAAGCGCGCGUAGGUGGCCUCAUAAGUCCGCUGUGAAAGUCAAAGGCUCAACCUUUGAAAGCCGGUGGAUACUGUGAGGCUAGGAGUACGGAAGAGGCGAGUGGAAUUCCUGGUGUAGCGGUGGAAUGCGCAGAUAUCAGGAGGAACACCAAUAGCGAAGGCAGCUCGCUGGGACGUUACUGACACUGAGGCGCGAAAGCGUGGGGAGCGAACAGG